UGUGGGAGAGUUGGGCAAGAAU
Molecule: microRNA, 22 nt
Filed under: Gossypium hirsutum (cotton)
Lineage: Eukaryota; Viridiplantae; Streptophyta; Magnoliopsida; Malvales; Malvaceae
Description: ghr-miR2948-5p
Source: miRBase by way of RNAcentral